ACGGAAGGCAGCAGUGGGGAAUAUUGCACAAUGGGCGCAAGCCUGAUGCAGCGAUGCCGCGUGAGGGAAGAAGGAUUUCGGAUUGUAAACCUCUGUCAACAGGGACGAAAAUGACGGUACCUGUGAAGGAAGGUCCGGCUAACUACGUGCCAGCAGCCGCGGUAAUACGUAGGGAGCAAGCGUUAUCCGGAAUUACUGGGUGUAAAGGGAGUGUAGGCGGGACUGUAAGUCAGAUGUGAAAUAUGCCGGCUCAACUGGCAGACUGCAUUUGAAACUGCGGUUCUUGAGUGAAGUAGAGGUAAGCGGAAUUCCUAGUGUAGCGGUGAAAUGCGUAGAUAUUAGGAGGAACAUCAGUGGCGAAGGCGGCUUACUGGGCUUUAACUGACGCUGAGGCUCGAAAGCGUGGGGAGCAAACAGGAUUAGAUACCCUGGUA
RNAcentral lists this ribosomal RNA (434 nucleotides) under uncultured Ruminococcus sp. RNAcentral's name for it is "partial 16S ribosomal RNA". It matches the Rfam family "Bacterial small subunit ribosomal RNA", at positions 341 to 792 of the family's 1533-position model. The record is from RNAcentral. Lineage: Bacteria; Bacillati; Bacillota; Clostridia; Eubacteriales; Oscillospiraceae.